Molecule: ribosomal RNA, 200 nt
Filed under: uncultured bacterium
Lineage: Bacteria
Description: partial 16S ribosomal RNA
Rfam family: Bacterial small subunit ribosomal RNA
Source: RNAcentral
AGAGUUUGAUCCUGGCUCAGGAUGAACGCUGGCGGCGUGCCUAACACAUGCAAGUCGAGCGAUUCUCUCACGAGAAGAGCGGCGGACGGGUGAGUAACGCGUGGGUAACCUGCCCUGUACACACGGAUAACAUACCGAAAGGUAUGCUAAUACGGGAUAAUAUAAGAGAGUCGCAUGGCUUUCUUAUCAAAGCUUUGGCG